RNAcentral lists this unclassified non-coding RNA (247 nucleotides) under Hevea brasiliensis (rubber tree). The record is from RNAcentral. Lineage: Eukaryota; Viridiplantae; Streptophyta; Magnoliopsida; Malpighiales; Euphorbiaceae.
AAGUGCAAAUGAAAAAUUCAUGGUAAUUUUAGUUUGCAUAUCAGUUUUUUCCUUCAGCUUUACUCUGUUUGGUUACCGAGAAAAUUGUAGGAAAGAACUGAACUAUCUUUUUGUUUUGGUAUACUGAACUUGUGUUAGGUAAAAAGGAACUGGUGUAUUCAUUUAGUUAUAUAUGCUAAUGCUAGUGCAUUUGUGUAUAGUGUAGUUAUGGCUUCCGAGUUCAUAACAAAAUUGGAUUGUUUAAUCA